AUGUAAAAUGACUCUCGGCAACGGAUAUCUCGGCUCUUGCAUCUAUGAAGAACGUAGCGAAAUGCGAUACUUGAUGUGAAUUGCAGAAUCCCGUGAACCAUCGAGUCUUUGAACGCAAGUUGCGCCCAAAGCCAUUAAGCUGAGGGCACGCCUGCCUGGGUGUCACAC
Molecule: ribosomal RNA, 168 nt
Filed under: Phaseolus lunatus (lima bean)
Lineage: Eukaryota; Viridiplantae; Streptophyta; Magnoliopsida; Fabales; Fabaceae
Description: 5.8S ribosomal RNA
Rfam family: 5.8S ribosomal RNA
About the family: 5.8S ribosomal RNA (5.8S rRNA) is a component of the large subunit of the eukaryotic ribosome. It is transcribed by RNA polymerase I as part of the 45S precursor that also contains 18S and 28S rRNA.
Source: RNAcentral